RNAcentral lists this long non-coding RNA (378 nucleotides) under Cyanistes caeruleus (blue tit). RNAcentral's name for it is "lncRNA (ENSCCEG00000014375.1)". The record is from RNAcentral. Lineage: Eukaryota; Metazoa; Chordata; Aves; Passeriformes; Paridae.
AUGUGUUUUCAACCAUGCAUUUCUGGGGCUGUCCAUACUCUCCAUUUCCCCUUGCACCACUCUGCCUGGGUAAAAGCUCACCCUGGACCAGCCAACAACCAGGACCACGGAAAGCUUCCAAGGAACAUGCAAGGCUUUGCGCUGCGAGAAGUGACUUUCAUUUCAAGCUUCCUUCCAGUGUUGGAGGAAGGGGAGAGGCGCGCGCAGCCGCUGGCGGACGGGCCGGGAGCGGCACCGGAGCUGACGGGACGGGGCUGCGGCGCUCUCCGGCCUCUGCCCUCCUUCCUCUCACCGAAAGCUGAGUUUCACCCCCGAAACCGGGACACAGGAGCCUCGCCGCCUUUUUCCACAGAAUCACCAACGUUGGAAGAGACCUGA